UAUCGUUUAUUUGAUAGUACCUUACUACAUGGAUACCUGUGGUAAUUCUAGAGCUAAUACAUGCUAAAAACCCCGACUUCAGGAAGGGGUGUAUUUAUUAGAUAAAAAACCAACGCCCUUCGGGGCUCCUUGGUGAAUCAUAAUAACUUAACGAAUCGCAUGGCCUUGCGCCGGCGAUGGUUCAUUCAAAUUUCUGCCCUAUCAACUUUCGAUGGUAGGAUAGUGGCCUACCAUGGUGGCAACGGGUAACGGGGAAUUAGGGUUCGAUUCCGGAGAGGGAGCCUGAGAAACGGCUACCACA
This 301-nucleotide ribosomal RNA is filed under the name uncultured eukaryote. RNAcentral describes it as "SSU rRNA". It matches the Rfam family "Eukaryotic small subunit ribosomal RNA", at positions 111 to 414 of the family's 1831-position model. The record is from RNAcentral.